GGUGUAGGGCGCGUGCACCGGCGUGCGCACCCCCUCCCUCCGGCGCGUGGAAAUGGAGGCACAGAGGGCGCGCCCCGCGUUGUGCUGGCGUCCGUCACCGUCAAGUCCGGGGAUGGAAAUAGCGAAGAGGAGGAGCUUUGAACCCCUCGCCCGGCUGGCCGGGUAGUGCAGCUGUCACCGGGCCCGCCUUAGCGCCGAGCCUAAACCCGAGGCUCCUUCCGAACGGUGCCACAGCCUGCGCCCCCCUCUCCGGACGUGGAGAGGCCAGGAGGGUACCCGCCAGGCCGCCCCGACAGCCGCGCUACCGCUCCGAGCCUCGCGGGGUCACGGCGCCCCACUGAGGGGUUUGGAGAUGGAAGCGCCCAAGCUGUGCUCUUUGCCCACUCGGCGCCCACCGUGGCCUCGAACAGACCCUUCGGUCUCUAAGGCACCCACCAGCUCAGGGAGCUCCAAAGAGGGGGCCAGGCCAGCUCCACCCCUUCCCGAGGAGGGUUUGAGACUGACUUCUUGACACUGAGAACUCCCUUCCUCCUUCUGAGGCCAGCAGCUUGCAGGUGGCUGAUGCUGGAGAGCUGAGGGCGAGUGUCACAGACCUUUCCCCGGGGUUUUCUCAAGGUUUUCCCAACUAGAGAACAACUCAAUUGAAAGCCAAAGGGACCAUUCAUAAACUCAUUGAUGUUCAUACAGGUGAAGAUUCUGGUUCCAAGGCGUGACAAGGAUUUAUCCAAACUUAGAUCCUUCUGACUUCCAGACAUUCGUUUCUUAUACUGCAGGACAGUGAGAUGGUGACGUCUGUCUUUGCCAGGAAAAGGAAUGAGG
Long non-coding RNA from Pipistrellus kuhlii (Kuhl's pipistrelle), 819 nucleotides. RefSeq lists it as uncharacterized. The record is from RefSeq and is a predicted model, not a curated record. The transcript is spliced from 3 exons. NCBI's taxonomy places the organism in Eukaryota, Metazoa, Chordata, Mammalia, Chiroptera, Vespertilionidae.